Molecule: ribosomal RNA, 301 nt
Filed under: uncultured bacterium
Lineage: Bacteria
Description: partial 16S ribosomal RNA
Rfam family: Bacterial small subunit ribosomal RNA
Source: RNAcentral
CAGCCGCCACGGUAAUACAGAGGGUGCAAGCGUUAAUCGGAAUUACUGGGCGUAAAGCGCGCGUAGGUGGUUUGUUAAGUUGGAUGUGAAAUCCCCGGGCUCAACCUGGGAACUGCAUCCAAAACUGGCAAGCUAGAGUAUGGUAGAGGGUGGUGGAAUUUCCUGUGUAGCGGUGAAAUGCGUAGAUAUAGGAAGGAACACCAGUGGCGAAGGCGACCACCUGGACUGAUACUGACACUGAGGUGCGAAAGCGUGGGGAGCAAACAGGAUUAGAGACCCCUGUAGUCCCUGUCUCUUAUAA